RNAcentral lists this ribosomal RNA (497 nucleotides) under uncultured bacterium. RNAcentral's name for it is "partial 16S ribosomal RNA". It matches the Rfam family "Bacterial small subunit ribosomal RNA", at positions 28 to 507 of the family's 1533-position model. The record is from RNAcentral.
GAUGAACGCUGGCGGCGUGCCUAAUACAUGCAAGUCGAGCGAACAGACGAGGAGCUUGCUCCUCUGACGUUAGCGGCGGACGGGUGAGUAACACGUGGAUGACCUACCUAUAAGACUGGGAUAACUUCGGGAAACCGGAGCUAAUACCGGAUAAUAUAUUGAACCGCAUGGUUCAAUAGUGAAAGACGGUUUUGCUGUCACUUAUAGAUGGAUCCGCGCCGCAUUAGCUAGUUGGUAGGGUAACGGCUUACCAAGGCGACGAUGCGUAGCCGACCUGAGAGGGUGAUCGGCCACACUGGAACUGAGACACGGUCCAGACUCCUACGGGAGGCAGCAGUAGGGAAUCUUCCGCAAUGGGCGAAAGCCUGACGGAGCAACGCCGCGUGAGUGAUGAAGGUCUUCGGAUCGUAAAACUCUGUUAUUAGGGAAGAACAAAUGUGUAAGUAACUAUGCACGUCUUGACGGUACCUAAUCAGAAAGCCACGGCUAACUACGUG